Molecule: ribosomal RNA, 301 nt
Filed under: uncultured bacterium
Lineage: Bacteria
Description: partial 16S ribosomal RNA
Rfam family: Bacterial small subunit ribosomal RNA
Source: RNAcentral
CAGUAGCCGCGGGAAUACAGAGGGUGCGAGCGUUAAUCGGAUUUACUGGGCGUAAAGCGUGCGUAGGCGGUUAUAUAAGACAGAUGUGAAAUCCCCGGGCUCAACCUGGGAACUGCAUUUGUGACUGUAUAGCUAGAGUACGGCAGAGGGGGAUGGAAUUCCGCGUGUAGCAGUGAAAUGCGUAGAUAUGCGGAGGAACACCGAUGGCGAAGGCAAUCCCCUGGGCCUGUACUGACGCUCAUGCACGAAAGCGUGGGGAGCAAACAGGAUUAGAUACCCCCGUAGUCCCUGUCUCUUAUAC